AUUGAACGCUGGCGGCAGGCUUAACACAUGCAAGUCGAGCGGGGUGAUGGUGCUUGCACUAUCACUUAGCGGCGGACGGGUGAGUAAUGCUUAGGAAUCUGCCUAUUAGUGGGGGACAACAUCUCGAAAGGGAUGCUAAUACCGCAUACGUCCUACGGGAGAAAGCAGGGGAUCACUCGUGACCUUGCGCUAAUAGAUGAGCCUAAGUCGGAUUAGCUAGUUGGUGGGGUAAAGGCCUACCAAGGCGACGAUCUGUAGCGGGUCUGAGAGGAUGAUCCGCCACACUGGGACUGAGAAACGGCCCAGACUCCGACGGGAGGCAGCAGUGGGGAAUAUUGGACAAUGGGGGGAACCCUGAUCCAGCCAUGCCGCGUGUGUGAAGAAGGCCUUAUGGUUGUAAAGCACUUUAAGCGAGGAGGAGGCUCUUUUGGUUAAUACCCAAGAUGAGUGGACGUUACUCGCAGAAUAAGCACUGGCUAACUCUGUGCCAGCAGCCGCCGUAA
This 503-nucleotide ribosomal RNA is filed under the name uncultured bacterium. RNAcentral's name for it is "partial 16S ribosomal RNA". It matches the Rfam family "Bacterial small subunit ribosomal RNA", at positions 30 to 523 of the family's 1533-position model. The record is from RNAcentral.